RNAcentral lists this ribosomal RNA (402 nucleotides) under uncultured bacterium. RNAcentral's name for it is "bacterial SSU rRNA". It matches the Rfam family "Bacterial small subunit ribosomal RNA", at positions 355 to 774 of the family's 1533-position model. The record is from RNAcentral. RNAcentral also lists the same sequence under 1 other name.
UGGGGAAUAUUGGACAAUGGGCGAAAGCCUGAUCCAGCAAUACCGAGUGAGUGAUGAAGGCCCUAGGGUUGUAAAGCUCUUUUAGCAAGGAAGAUAAUGACGUUACUUGCAGAAAAAGCCCCGGCUAACUCCGUGCCAGCAGCCGCGGUAAGACGGAGGGGGCUAGCGUUGUUCGGAAUUACUGGGCGUAAAGAGUGCGUAGGCGGUUUAGUAAGUUGGAAGUGAAAGCCCGGGGCUUAACCUCGGAAUUGCUUUCAAAACUACUAAUCUAGAGUGUAGUAGGGGAUGAUGGAAUUCCUAGUGUAGAGGUGAAAUUCUUAGAUAUUAGGAGGAACACCGGUGGCGAAGGCGGUCAUCUGGGCUACAACUGACGCUGAUGCACGAAAGCGUGGGGAGCAAACA